RNAcentral lists this small RNA (565 nucleotides) under Cladobotryum soroaense. Its description in RNAcentral is "eukaryotic LSU rRNA". The stretch from base 183 to 336 matches the Rfam family "5.8S ribosomal RNA". The record is from RNAcentral. Lineage: Eukaryota; Fungi; Ascomycota; Sordariomycetes; Hypocreales; Hypocreaceae.
AGGGAUCAUUACCGAGUUUACAACUCCCAAACCCACUGUGAAUCUUACCUACUGUUGCUUCGGCGGGAGUGCCCCGGGUGCCAGCCGGCCCCGGAACCAGGCGCCCGCCGGAGGUAUCAAACUCUUCUGUUUUUUUCAGCGGCAUUAUCUGAGUGGCUUCAAUGCAAAACAAAAUGAAUCAAAACUUUCAACAACGGAUCUCUUGGUUCUGGCAUCGAUGAAGAACGCAGCGAAAUGCGAUAAGUAAUGUGAAUUGCAGAAUUCAGUGAAUCAUCGAAUCUUUGAACGCACAUUGCGCCCGCCAGUAUUCUGGCGGGCAUGCCUGUUCGAGCGUCAUUUCAACCCUCAAGCCCCCCAGGGGGCGCGGUGUUGGGGACCGGCCGCCGCCUCGGUAGCGGUGGCCGCCCCCGAAAUACAGUGGCGGUCCCGCCGCAGCGUCCUCUGCGUAGUAGUGUAAAAACCUCGCAUCGGAGCGCGGCGCGGCCAUGCCGUUAAAACCCCAAACUUCUGAAAGGUUGACCUCGGAUCAGGUAGGAAUACCCGCUGAACUUAAGCAUAUCAAUAA